UUCAAUAUGGCAGAAAAAUGCAAUGGAACUAAGUUCCAGGCAUAAAGUUUCACCUUUUAUUGAAA
This 65-nucleotide transfer RNA is filed under the name Cryptocercus hirtus. RNAcentral describes it as "tRNA-Leu". The record is from RNAcentral. Lineage: Eukaryota; Metazoa; Arthropoda; Insecta; Blattodea; Cryptocercidae.